This 383-nucleotide ribosomal RNA is filed under the name uncultured marine eukaryote. Its description in RNAcentral is "SSU rRNA". It matches the Rfam family "Eukaryotic small subunit ribosomal RNA", at positions 614 to 1001 of the family's 1831-position model. The record is from RNAcentral.
UGCGGUUAAAAAGCUCGUAGUUGGAUUUCUGUUGAGGACGGCCGGUCCGCACUAUGUGCGUGUAUCUGGUUCGGCCUCGGCAUCCUCUUGAGGAACGUUCCUGCGCUUGAUUGCGUGGAGCGGUAUUCAAGACUUUUACUUUGAGGAAAUUAGAGUGUUCACGGCAGGCAAGCGCCUUGAAUACAUUAGCGUGGAAUAAUAAUAUAGGAUCUUGGUUCUAUUUGUUGGUUUCUAGGGCUAAGGUAAUGAUUAAUAGGGAUAAUUGGGGGCAUUUGUAUUAACGCGUCAGAGGUGGAAUUCUUGGAUUGCGUUACGACAAACUACUGCGAAAGCGUUUGCCAAGGAUGUUUUCAUUGGAUCAAGAACGAAAGUAUGGGGAUCGA